This 413-nucleotide ribosomal RNA is filed under the name uncultured Arcobacter sp. Its description in RNAcentral is "bacterial SSU rRNA". It matches the Rfam family "Bacterial small subunit ribosomal RNA", at positions 971 to 1382 of the family's 1533-position model. Lineage: Bacteria; Pseudomonadati; Campylobacterota; Epsilonproteobacteria; Campylobacterales; Arcobacteraceae. The record is from RNAcentral.
UUACCUGGCCUUGACAUUGAUAGAAUCUGGUAGAGAUACUGGAGUGCUAGCUUGCUAGAACUUGAAAACAGGUGCUGCACGGCUGUCGUCAGCUCGUGUCGUGAGAUGUUGGGUUAAGUCCCGCAAUGAGCGCAACCUCGUCGUUAGUUGCUAACAGUUAGGCUGAGAACUCUAACGAGACUGCCUUCGUAAGGAGGAGGAAGGUGAGGACGACGUCAAGUCAUCAUGGCCCUUACGGCCAGGGCUACACACGUGCUACAAUGGGGUAUACAAAGAGCAGCGAUACGGUGACGUGGAGCAAAUCUAGAAAAUGCCUCUCAGUUCGGAUUGUAGUCUGCAACUCGACUACAUGAAGUUGGAAUCGCUAGUAAUCGUAGAUCAGCAAUGCUACGGUGAAUACGUUCCCGGGUCUU